GAUGAACGCUGGCGGCGUGCUUAACACAUGCAAGUCGAACGGGAAGGAUUUGAUUUAGUCUUCGGUCGAUUUAGUGUAAUUGUAAGUGCGAAGUGGGUAGUAUCCCCUUGAUAAUCGGCUUUAUACAGGGAGAUAACAGUCAUAAAGGGUAGCUAAUACCGCUGCAUGGUGGGGAGCGGCAAGGUUCGGUGUGUAAAGCUCGGGUGGGAUAAGAUCGACCCGCGUGUGGUUUGCUGGUUGGUAGGGUAACGGCCCGGCAAGGCGACGAUGCAGAGCCGGGCUGGGAGGGUGACAGGCCACAUUGGGAAUGCGACACGGACCAGACUCCUACGGAAGGGAGCAGUGGAGAAUAUUGCAGAAUGGGGGAAACCCUGAUGACGCGACGCGGCGUGAAGGAAGCAGUAUCUCGGAAUGUAAACUUCUAUGAGAAGGGACGAUAGUGACGGUAACUGACUAAGAAGCCCCGGCUAACUACGUG
This 478-nucleotide ribosomal RNA is filed under the name uncultured bacterium. RNAcentral's name for it is "partial 16S ribosomal RNA". It matches the Rfam family "Bacterial small subunit ribosomal RNA", at positions 28 to 507 of the family's 1533-position model. The record is from RNAcentral.